This 253-nucleotide ribosomal RNA is filed under the name uncultured bacterium. Its description in RNAcentral is "partial 16S ribosomal RNA". It matches the Rfam family "Bacterial small subunit ribosomal RNA", at positions 524 to 776 of the family's 1533-position model. The record is from RNAcentral.
UACAGAGACUGCAAGCGUUAUUCGGAUUCACUGGGCGUAAAGGGUGCGCAGGCGGUCGGGUGUGUCAGAUGUGAAAUCCCGAGGCUCAACCUCGGAACUGCGUCUGAAACUACUCGACUAGAGUACUGGAGAGGGUAACGGAAUUCACGGUGUAGCAGUGAAAUGCGUAGAUAUCGUGAGGAACACCAGAGGCGAAGGCGGCUCACUGGCCCGGUACUGACGCUGAGGCACGAAAGCGUGGGGAGCAAACAGG